UUGAACGCUCCUGCUAUUAGUUGAAGCCGUUCUGACUUUUAAAUUGGGGAUACACGAAACCCUAAUUCGAUGGCGAUCCAGUUCUAUUCUUUUUCUCUGGAGCGGGAUCUCCCCUUUGCAACCAACGUAACUUUGUGGAUAUCGAAAUUCUUACAAUUUUCUUUUAUUGUACAUUUCCCGUCUGAUCGCACUUGGCAGAAAAGAAGAUGCGGUGGCGGUAGAGAAAACAAGGAGAAUGAGUAGGAGUUUAUGAAAAUUAGAGUUCAUGGUUGAAUUGAAGAAAAGGUGUGGAUUUAAGUUUUAAGGGGGUAGUGAGAGAGGAGAGGAGAGAAGAGGAGAGGAUGAUAUUUUUGGGAGUUGGAAGGUGGAAGAGAGCAUAUAUGCCUAAUAAUAUAAAUAGUUAAAUACAUGCAAACCGCACUCAACUAUCCUUAUCUCAUCACUCUUCAUUUUUUCAUUUUUUUUCUACAGUUUAUACUUUAUAAUGACUGUCAAAUUUUGGGCAUAUUAUGAUAGACGAAAUAUGAUGUCAAUGUACAAGAAAGAUGCAGUGUAUAUGUGUGUUGAAUUUUGGUCAUGGCAGAAUUUGCCAGAAAAAAAUUAGGUAUGAUUGUAAAAUCGUUAAGAGUGCUGAUGUAUUUGAAAUGAUUGAUUUACCAUAUUUGUGGCUUAUGAUCUUAUUA
Molecule: long non-coding RNA, 683 nt
Organism: Salvia splendens (bonfire salvia)
Lineage: Eukaryota; Viridiplantae; Streptophyta; Magnoliopsida; Lamiales; Lamiaceae
Exons: 2
Source: RefSeq, a predicted model, not a curated record